Molecule: long non-coding RNA, 1555 nt
Organism: Cygnus olor (mute swan)
Lineage: Eukaryota; Metazoa; Chordata; Aves; Anseriformes; Anatidae
Exons: 2
Source: RefSeq, a predicted model, not a curated record
UUGCUGACCAGUCAUUCUGCGGUCUGCCGCCAUGCUCCGUUACCACAGCUGUAGGUAACUUGUCUGAAGGCCAGUUGGUUAUUCCCAGGCUUCUGGCGUGGGUUCUGAUUUUCCGAUUGCGAGCCGUUGGGAUGGGGAACAACGCGUUCUGGCCUGGGAGCGAUCUCAGUAGACCUGUGACAGCGCCAAGCUGCGAGGUGUGGGGUGCCUUCAGCAGCCUCUGUUGACCGGUCUCCUUGGCCAACUCUUCGCUUCGCUGCAGCCCCUGGCCUGGUGGGCUUCCAGCUGCACGUUUAAAAGCAAAACCGGUCCACGUGGGAAUUCAAGGAAUCGAGUACAAGCUUUUACAUGAAUACUUACUUUAUUAGUUUCUCUUAGAAUGCUGUACAAAGGAGUAAUAAAAAUAUUCACACUUUUAUUUUAGAAAGUUCUCUACAUGAGACUUCGGUAUCCACAGCAAAAAGAAGGGCUACUGGGAGAAAAAACAAAACAACCCUAAAACUAUGUACAAUGUCAGAAUGUUCCAUUAAAAAACAAAACUAAUUUAGCUCACUUAAAUUCAUCCAAGGAGGAUACAUAAAUGCAAACUCUUGCAUGCUUAAAAUACGUUAUGCGCGAUGAUAAAGCAAUGUAAGUCACAAUAAGAAAUAUUAAUGCGUUAACAAUGGUAACCCAACUGCUGUCCCCUUUUCAAGGGCCAGUACCAACCUUCUAUUAAAACAAACAAAAAACUAAACAAUGAAUUAAAAAAGAAGUACUCAAGAAUUAAGUAGCCCUAGACCUCAGGCUUUUGUUUUUAUUUUAAAGGCUUUUUUUCCUGCAAAGGGUUGGACUGUGUAACAUCCGUUAGCUCUGUUAAAGGAAUUACAAGACAGGAUUCCCUAAUUCACCAACUGGUAGCACUUGAUUGUUCCCUCGUUUCCCUGGUGCAGCGGCUUCCACAUGGCGUUAAUAGGUGCAUUGUCUUAAUGAUGGCUUAGAGGAGGCCUUGCCCGCAAGAUCAAGGGAUGGCUGCUUGCCAGUGCCUGUGAACUGCUCAAGGGGUGAGUUUCUGAAGCUUUUCUCCUGCAUUCAUCGCAGAACAAAAAAGAAAAGCAUUUUAAGUACCUACUUGCCCAGUCAUUGUUUCUCAGUCACACAAGGAGUCCACCCUAGUUCUCCAGCUGAAGUUUAUCCUAGUUACUAUGUACAGUGUAAGUUCAAGGGGAAAAUCUGUCAAGUGCAAUGUGAUCAAAAUCCUGUUUAAAAUCAAUAAUGCUCAAUUAUCUCCUUCACAGAGGUACUGGAGAAAAUUCCACAGCCUAAAAGAAGGAGUGGACAGUCUUUGGGCUCCCGUUCUGACUCUCAGCACACAAGACAGCACGGGCAGCAGGAGCGCUGACCAGCACAGGACACGAGGCAGCUCAGCUGCCCUGCAGUACUCACAGUACGAUGGGCAUGAUGGUCAGGAACUUGCGGGACGCUGUGAACUGCACGCCGUAGUCCAUCUGCUCCCAGUGCGUGAGCAGCCGAGCCUUCCCCUGAUCUGGCGUCUCAAAAGGGGUUCCUUUCACGG